GACAGAGGGGGCAAGCGUUGCUCGGAAUUACUGGGCGUAAAGGGCGCGUAGGCGGGAUGGCAAGUCGGUCGUGAAAUCCUUCGGCUCAACCGAAGAACGUUGAUCGAUACUGCUGUUCUUGAGGGUUGCAGAGGAGACUGGAAUUCCCGGUGUAGCGGUGAAAUGUGUAGAGAUCGGGAGGAACACCGGUGGCGAAGGCGGGUCUCUGGGCAAUUCCUGACGCUGAGGCGCGAAAGCGUGGGGAGCAAACGGG
Molecule: ribosomal RNA, 253 nt
Filed under: uncultured bacterium
Lineage: Bacteria
Description: partial 16S ribosomal RNA
Rfam family: Bacterial small subunit ribosomal RNA
Source: RNAcentral